RNAcentral lists this non-coding RNA (25 nucleotides) under Cricetulus griseus (Chinese hamster). The record is from RNAcentral. Lineage: Eukaryota; Metazoa; Chordata; Mammalia; Rodentia; Cricetidae.
AUCGGGGAUGGACGCGCGACAAAAU